UCUGUAUUUUCUACUCAAUUCUGCUAUAAACCUGAAACUGCUCUAAAAAAUAAAGUCUAUUAAAAAAUUCUAACUUCUCAUUCUGUUCAUCUAUUUUUAUCCUAAAUUCUUUGAUCACUUUUAUGAUCAUUACCCUGAACUCUUUAUUGGGUAGAUUGCCUAUGUCCACUUCACUUAGUUCUUCUGAGGUUUUAUGUUGUUCCUUCAUUUGGAACAUGUUCCUCUGUCACCACAUUUUGCCUACUUUGCUAUUUUUAUUCCUAUAUAUCUGGUAGGUUGGUUAUGUUUCCCGACCUUAGAGAAGUGGCCUUUUGUAGGAGAUGUCCUAUGCAUCCCAGCAGUGCAUUUCCCUCUGGUCAUCAGAACUAUAUGCUCUAGGGGGUGCCCUCUGUAUGGGCUGCGUGGGCUCUUCUGUUGUGAUGGGCUGACUACUGUGGGCAAUCUGGUAGGCAUGGCUGGCUCCUGGUCUGUCUGAGUGUCAGGCCCUGUAUUUUGUGAAGGCUACUGUCUGGUUGGCAAGGGCAGGUCACGAGAUCCUGGCUGAGGGACCCUGAGGGGUCCCAGACUAGUCCUGGCUCAAUGAUGAGCAGAGCCAGUUUCUAGGGUAUGUGGUUGCAGCACUGGGUUUUCUGGAUCUAGUGUCAGCCUGCUGGUUGGUGGGGCUGGUUCCUGACAUGGCUGUCUGCAGGUUCCUGGGUGUCGCAAUGCUGGUGCUGGCCCACUGGUGAGUAGGGCUGGAUCCUGGAAUGGCUGGCUAAGGAAUCCAAGGCAUCUCACAGUUGGUGUUGUAGCUGAUAGGUGUGGCUAGGGCCCAGGGCUAGUGCCAAAUCACUGCUGUGCGGAGCAGGGUCCUGGUGUCUCUGGCUUAGGGUCUUAUGGGUCCUGAAACUGGUAUCAGCCCACUGGUGUGUGCAGCUGGAUCCUGGGGCCACUGGCUGAAGAGCCUAAGGUCCCAGAGCUGGAGUUGGCCAGCUGGUGGGCAAGGCCAGGGUCCCAGACGUUAUCAGGGCUGCUCUCUGCCUGCUGGUCUUUUGGCUGGGUCCUGAUAUGGCAGGCUCUGGGGCUACGGUGGUCCUGGGACUAGUGUCUGACCACUAGUUGGAUGGGUUAGGAGUCCAGGAGAUCUUGCCACUGGUGCCCACCCACUCACAGGUGAAGCUGGGUUCUGGGGCCAGUGCCGGCCCACUGGUGGGCAGAGCCAGGUCCUGGGGCCUCUGGCUGCAGGGCCAGGGGUCCCAGAGCUGGUGUCACACCACUGGUGGAUGGAGCCAGUUCUUGACAUGGCUGCAGGGUCUGGGGUGUCCUGAAGCUUGUGUCAGCCUGAUGAUUGGGGCUGGAUCCUGGAGCAGCUGGCUGAGGGCCUCAAGGUGUCUCAGAGCUGGUGUUGGCUUGCUGGUGGGUAAAGUCAUGGCCCAUUGGGUCCUGUGGCUAGUGCUAGCCUGCUGGUGGUUGGGCUGGGUCUUUCCAUGACAGACUGUAGGGUUGCAGUGGUCCUGGGGCUGGUACCUGUCCAUUGUGGGGCAGAGAUGGGUCCUGGGGUUUCUGGCUGCAGGGCCCUGGGGGUUCCAGGUCUAGUGCAUGCAUACUGGUGUCUGGGGCUAGGUCCUGGGUCCUCUGUGGACAGGGCCAUUUCCCAGGAUGGCUGUGGGCUCAGGGGGUCUUAAGAUAGCCUACCGGCUGAUGGGUGGGGCUGUGUCCCUGUCUGGUUAGUUGCUUGGCCUGAAGCAUCCCAGUAUGAGUGCCUAUAGGCUGGUGGGCACGGGCAGGGCUGGGUACCAAGGCUAACAAACUAGAGGGUGGAUCCCAAAAUGGCACUUGCCAGCACCAGUGUUUGUGUCCCCAGGGUGAGCUCCAAUUGCCUCCUGCUUCUCUGGGAGACUCUCCAAGAUCAGCAGGUGGGUCUGACCCAGGCUCCUUUCAAAUCACUGCUUCAGCCCUGGGUCCUGGAAUGUGUUAGAUUUUGUGUGCUCCCUUUAAGAGUGCAGUCUCUAUUUCCCACAGCCCUGUAAGCCCCACUGGCCUUCAAAGCCUCACAUUCUGAGGGAUCAUCUUCCUGAUGCUGGGCCCUCAGGUUGGGGAGCUUGAUGUGGGGCUGAGACCCAUCGCACCUUGGGGAGAAUUUCUGCAGUUGUAAUUAUUCUUCUAUGUGUGAGGUAUGGGUCUUGACUACACUGUGACUCUGCCACUCCCACUCAUCUCGUUGUGGUUCCUUCUUUAUUUCUUUAGUUGUAAAAGAUCUUUUCUGUUAGAUUCUGAUCUUUCUCAUGAAUAGUUGCUCUGUAAAUAGUUGUUAUAUUGGUGUGUCUGUGAGAGGUGAGUUCAGAGUCUUCCUACUCUGCCAUCUUGACCAAAAAAAAAAUCUAUUAACAAAUGUUUUUAUCUUUGACAAUCUGACAGGUAAAAUAUAGAAACUUAUAAGUAUAUAUUUUUUAACUUAAAAUACAUGCAUAUGAUAAAAAAACCAAUGUGAGCAGUAUAAAAGGAUAUACAAUUAAAGUUAUAUAUUACCCCUAUUCCCUAGUUCCCUUGGUUCCCUUUCCAGAGACCUCCCACUGUCAGUUUCCUGUUUAUCUUCCAGGUAUAUUCCAUGCAAAUCAUGCAUAUGCAAAUAUAAAUGGGCGUAUAUGUGUGUGUGCACAAGUGUUUGGAAAUUUAUCUGGUCUGGUUUAUUGAUAAAAAUUAUGGUGUAGCUGACACGAAGACGUCAAGUGAUGAAGCCUAUUUGCUACCAAGAGGGGAGUCACAUUUACAAUGGAGCUCACACUUUAGAAGACUGAACUGACAGAUGGAAGGAAAUUAGGUCCUUGGUGAUAUUGCUGAUUCACAGAAUCAAACCAAUUUCCAAGCCCACUCAUCCCCUUGAAUUUGCAGUUAUUUGAACCAAUAAAUCCUUUUUAUUGUUUAA
Molecule: non-coding RNA, 2905 nt
Organism: Vicugna pacos (alpaca)
Lineage: Eukaryota; Metazoa; Chordata; Mammalia; Artiodactyla; Camelidae
Source: RefSeq, a predicted model, not a curated record